This is an RNA transcript of Brassica napus (rape), 2394 nucleotides long. It is a transcript of the gene named protein GOLVEN 2-like, with no coding region annotated. Lineage: Eukaryota; Viridiplantae; Streptophyta; Magnoliopsida; Brassicales; Brassicaceae. The transcript is spliced from 3 exons. The record is from RefSeq and is a predicted model, not a curated record.
ACAGAAUCUUUCAUCUUGUAUAUAUAAACACAAAAAGGUUCAAUAAAAGACAUAUAGCCAGAGAGAAAUAAACUAAGUCACUUCUAAAAUGGCAGUUAGGGUUUAUUACAAGCCACUCCUCCUGGCACUUCUUCUCAUCAUCUUAAUUUAUUCUCCUGCUCAAGCACGAAACACAGGAGAAAUCGUGAGGAAUAGAAAGCUAUUGGCUGUGGAGAAGGAGCAGGAGACUCAGAACUCAAGGCAAGACGGAGGAAGUGAUGGUUAUGGAUUGGUGGAUAUGGAUUAUAAUAGUGCGAACAAGAAAAGACCGAUACACAACCGCUAAUUAAUAAACACGUGAUGAAUUUAUCAAUUUCUUGUGAGAUAUCCCAAGAUUCUAUGAUAUCCCGAGAUUGAUAUAAUAUAUUCAACAGAAAUUACUAUCAAGUAUUGGGAACUAAAAUAUUUUAUGAAUAAAAAUUAUAAAAUAUUAAUAAUCGAGUUUGUAUACAUGUAGUUUAGUAUAAUCGAGUUUAUAUAAACAUAAAAAUACAAACAAUUCUAUAUAAUAAUCAUAGUUUGUGUGUGUUAUAUCAUGGGUUUCGGUUUGUGAAUGAAUGUCAAUGAAUAUACUUCUUUUAUAUUGAACUAAUCAAUGGAGAUACAUAUUUUGUGUAUAUACUAUAUAUACUCUUAAUAUCUUAUGUUAAGUUUAAUGAUACAUUGUCUAUAUAAUUACAUGUGUUGAUAAUUGAAUCGAUCGUCGUUUAUAAUACUAUAAACUCAAAUAUUUCUGAUAAUAAUAUAAACAUAUUAUAUAUUUUUGUUAUAUUUUCAAUACACACAACAACAAACAACAUGUUAUCAUCAUCUCAACGGUGAUCAUGUCCAUUGUGUGAGAAGUCUUUGGUCUGACUGAUUGUUUGGACAAAAUUAAUAUUACAUGUUGUGGUUUUAGGCAUAGAGGAUUACGGACUUUGAUCUCGAAUUUUAUGGUAUUCAAAAAAGGAUAAUAUAACAAACAACAAACAAAAAAAUACUAAUAUAAACAACUUUCUAAUGAAUAAGCCUUGUAUGAAAAUAAUAUCAGAGAUCUAGAGAAUACUCGUCCAUCAAUGCACAUAUAAACGUGUUAGAAUUCACGAGACUCACUUUAUAUCCCAAAUUCGAUGAUUCUAGUGAUCAUCAAUACUUUUUUCACAUGACAAACUGAGAUGCAAAACGCAAUAAAUUCAUGGGACAUGUGUUAUGUAUGAAAUAGACAUCAUUCGAAAACGAAAAAAAGUAAAUCAACAAACUCAUGUGGAACAACCUAGUAGGCUAUAACCAAAAAUACAUAUUAUCUCGGCCCAUUAAAUAAACGUUUAUCUCAGCCCAUUACGUAAACGUAAUAUCGGCCCAUUAAAUAAACCUAUUAUCUCGAAAUCUUUUUCUUAGUUUUUUCUUUUGAAAAAAAAAAAAUUAAACCCGGUCUAUAAAAGACACGUACCUAACCUCACCCGGUGCAGUCCAAGUAUGGACUCUCUCCCGUCUAUUCAAAUGGACCGUAAACAAUAGGCUCAUAUCCGUGUGGCCACAUGUAGAGCUAAUAAUUUUGCACUAGAGGGAAAUCGAUCCCUGAUCUAGACCACGGGACAAUUCUUCUUCUAGUAAAAAAAAAAAAAAAAAAAAACUCCUGCUCCGGCGAAACCACUAGACCAUCAGGAUGUAGUUAUCUUUUUCUUAGUUGAUCCGUGUAAUUUGAUUGCGAAGGAAUAAUAGGUGGAGACAUUUGGUGCUAUGGCAAAAACUGAGAAGAUUGAAUUCGUCCUUGAACAAGUCCGCUUGUGCUUGGAUCGACCGUUCACAAAUCCUACUAUGAAGAUCACCGAGAGAGUAUUUAACGCAGGUACCACCAAAGAUAAAAAGAAACCUAAGGAAGGUGGAGACAUUUUGUGAUAUACCAACAUUGUUGGAGCUUAAGCGGAUUUACUUUUAUGCCUAACCAUUGAGGCAAAUAUAAGUUUGAACACCAAUCUAAAUGUAACCAGCUAUAUCUUUGAAAAAAUUUCUUCCUAUUGGUUCAUUAUAUUUCAGGAAGCAGAGAAGCAUCUAUCUGAGAUGGUUGUGUGAUUAUCAGGAAUAGUCUGAUCGUUAAAGACAGCAACGAAAUUCUAACUCAUGGAAGCUUUUAGAUCUUGGUGAGAAGAGUUGUCAAAUUCACACAGAGACUAUGAUUCAUAAAGCUGCACUAAGAGCUUGAGAAACCGGUAGCCAAACACCCCCACAUUGGAAAGAAUCUUUCAGGUUCUGUCCUAAAAAUUCUUCAUUUAACUUUUGUUGUAUUUGUUUGGUUCACAUAACAGAGUUAAAAAAAAAAAAACUCUUCCUACUUUUUACAACAAAUUUAUUAUUAUGCAAAAAAAAAAGAGAAAA